RNAcentral lists this ribosomal RNA (111 nucleotides) under Acinetobacter variabilis. The record is from RNAcentral. Lineage: Bacteria; Pseudomonadati; Pseudomonadota; Gammaproteobacteria; Moraxellales; Moraxellaceae.
UGGCGACCAUAGCAAGAGUGAACCACCUGAUCCCUUCCCGAACUCAGAAGUGAAACCUCUUAGCGCUGAUGGUAGUGUGGGGUCUCCCAUGUGAGAGUAAGUCAUCGCCAG